GUAGCCGCCAGGGACGUUGGAGUCGUAGUACCUGGCCGGCUCCUUGACGGCGACGCGGACGUCAAGCUUCCCCUGGGGCCUCCCGGAGGGGCGCUUCAGCCUCAGGUUCCUGGACGCCUUGCCCCCGACGCCGGCGUCGUCGACGACGUCGCGGAGAGGGAGCCGGGCCGAGCCGACGAGCGGCUUGACGCCCUCGGCGGCGUUGGCGUGGACGACGUCGAUGUAGAGCACGGCGUCCUCCAGGCGGCUGGCGGGCGGGAGCGGGACGAGCACCUUCUCGUCCCAGGCGGGGUUGUCGCCGUUGUCGAGGUCGACGCGGGUGGAGCAGCGCGCGCCGGCGUCGAUCCAGAGCACGGCGUAGGGCUUGAGGUCGCCGUUGCGCCAGUUGACGUUCUUGAGGUCGCGGGCGGAGCCGACGGUGAUCUCCACCUCGUACCGCGAGCCCAUCUUGUGGCGCUGGUGGUGGUGGUGUUGUCCGGCGGCGAUGUGAUGAGGUGAGGUUGGAGUGGGAGUGGGAGGACGGGUUGAGGAAGCCGGUGGGCAUAAAUAGCCGCCAGGAGCGCGUGCGCGGGGCGGCUCGGGCUGGGGGCGCGUGCACUGGGGAUGGUGCGGCGCAGCCCGUAAUGUUUGACUGCAAAGCGGGCCCGGCGUCUCUGGUUAGGUAUAGGAUAUGAACUAUUCAAUGCAUUUUCUAGGUGUGCAUGCAUGCAUGCGGUUGGGUCAACGGUCAUAUUUUCUUUGUAUUUUUCUUUGGUAGGAUGUGUACAUUGUCAUGACAAUAUUGGCAUAUCCUAUCUCUAUCUCUAUCUAUCUUUGGACUAUCUAGAAAAAUUAUUAUUACUUAGCAUCGAAGGGAUUGCUAAAGAUUUUAUUUAGGAUAUGCCAAUAAUCCAAUGCAGAAAGUUUAAAGAGUGAAUUAUUUCUAGAAUCUCCUCAGACCUAAGUACUCCCUCCCUCCGUCACAGUUUACACGGCGCGCUUCGAUACUUAGCAUCGAAGGGAUUGCACAAGACUUAAUUAGGAGGUGGCAUGCACAAGUUACUAAGGAGUAUAAUGAAUGAGUAGCUACCCAAUUUGGAUCCUCCAAAUUAACACUCAACACACAUACUACUACUGGCAUAUCCUAUCUUUGUUUCUAACAUUAUUACUAUUACUAUUACUACUUAGGCUCGAAGGGAUUGCACAACACUUAGGAUAUCCGAAUAAUCCAAUGAAGAAACUAAGAGAGUAAUUCACCUCUAGAAUCACUUCGAACCUAAGUAAUACUCCCUGCGUUCCUAAAUAUACGAUGUUUUCGUAGUUGAGGGAAUACAUAAUAAUUAUGAAUUUACUAGCGCAUGUAGAAAGUAAAAGAGUACUACUACCUCCCUCCGGGUUUACUGGUCCCCAUUAUAUUCCGUGCCAAAAUUUGACCAUAGAUUAAACUAACAAAAUGUUUACGCAUGUCACCAGACAUUAUAUUUUUGAAAACUAUGUUCAAAUACGAAUCCAAUGAGAUAAUUUUUCUUGACAUACAUUAACAUUUUGUUAGUUAAAUCUUUAGUCAAAAUUUGACACAAACUACAAAGGGGACCUAUAAACCAGGACGGAGGUAGUACAACUACUAGAAUGAAUGAAUUAAUGAAUAGCUUACUAGCCGAAUUGGAUUCUUCCAAAGUAAGUCUAGUUGGAGGGGUGGAGAGUGUCCAACUUUGAAAAAAAAGGGGCCCCAUCAAAUGAAAGCAUUGCAUUGCAUGACCAUUUCAUUUUCCUUCUUCCAAAACUUGCAUUGACAACGCCCAUUACUGGAGUCAAUCUUGAUGACCAUAUAACUAUCUUGGUCGCACCGCUUCACAUGUAGGCCCACAUAUCUAAAGCACGACACCACACAGACGCCCGUUGGCCCGCAUUUGAUCCCUCUCUCCGAACUAGUAAGUUACAUGUGUGUAAUCGGAUAUCGGCAUUGAACAUUUUUAUGAUAUACACUGGACAUUUUUCAAACUACACAAUGAUUUCUUUAAUAUGAUACAUAUUUUUAUAUAUGAUGCACAUUUUUUAAAAUGGAAAAACAAUUUAAUAAUACAUGAUUAACUCUUGUAUAAGACGAAAAAAAGAGAAGAAACACAUAUUUCAUUGUAUUAAUGUAUUAAUGAAAAAAAGCUUGAUGCAACAUUUUUAAAGUAAUAAUAGACAUAAAAGGAAAAGAAAAAUCCGGAAAGAAAAACCAAACAAACAAAAAACAAUAAAAAGAGGAAAGAACCAGAAAAGAAAAAAAGAAAAAUAAGACAAAAUAAAAGUAACUGAAUAAACGAACAAAAAGAAACAGCAAACACACAGCAGGNNNNNNNNNNNNNNNNNNNNNNNNNNNNNNNNNNNNNNNNNNNNNNNNNNNNNNNNNNNNNNNNNNNNNNNNNNNNNNNNNNNNNNNNNNNNNNNNNNNNNNNNNNNNNNNNNNNNNNNNNNNNNNNNNNNNNNNNNNNNNNNNNNNNNNNNNNNNNNNNNNNNNNNNNNNNNNNNNNNNNNNNNNNNNNNNNNNNNNNNNNNNNNNNNNNNNNNNNNNNNNNNNNNNNNNNNNNNNNNNNNNNNNNNNNNNNNNNNNNNNNNNNNNNNNNNNNNNNNNNNNNNAUGCCACAAGGUGGCUUCGUGUGAGGGCAAGACUGCUGCCGGAAUAUCCAGGAACGAGUAUGCAAGUAGCACGCGCUGGUUUACCCAGGUUCGGGGCUCUCCGGAGAGAUAACACCCAUACUCCUGCAUGUCUGAGUAUAUCCGGUAUAUCUGAUACAGAGUGCUCCUGGAGCUGUAUCUGAGGUCAGUGCCGUAGGCAUCUGGCCUCGUAUAUGCAUAUGAGCACAAGUGUGUGCUUGGCCGAAUGGAGUGGCCGUGGUGGUGCUUGUGUGCUCAUGCGUGAGUGAGUGUGAGAGUGGAUGGUGGAUGGAUGGAUGGUUGCUAUAUAUAGGCAUGGCUAGCUUAGCAUGUAAGCUAUGUGGUGGUAUGGGAGCAAGGGGGUAUGGUGGGGUGUCAUGCUUGUCCCCUGGGUCACUUCAUAAAUAGUGUCAGGGGACAAGUGACACUAUACAUGAUGGCAUCGAGGUACAGCCGUCUCGUCCGCGGUAUGGCCGCCACGUCGGGGUCUUGUCGGGCUACAGUCAGCAGCCGGCUGGUUGGCGCAGUCGGCAGCCGGCUGGUUGGCGCAGUCAGCAGCCGGCUGGUUGGCGCAGUCGGCAGCCGGCAGCCGGCCGGGCAGAGCAAUCGGACGGGAAUCCGGCAGGAGCGGCCGGGCAGUCGGACUGAGGGGCUUUGCUAGCCCCGAUGUCUUGAUUUAUUGUCUCACCAUCUUCGAGGUAUCCGUGUCCAAUUACUUCGACAGUAGCCCCCAAGCCUCCAGGCAACUUGGCAAAGUUGGGUGGAGGUUUUUUGGCGAGUGUUCAUGGAAAUGAUCAUGAAAAAGACAAAGUUAGUCCACGUAGAUAUAUCAAAUGAUUGCUUUUAGCGUUGCAAGUUUUAUGCGGAGGGUGCCGACUCGGUUUCGUCCAAGCCCCCUUCAAUCUUUUUCGUGUUCCCUCCGUUUUUUGGCUUGUGCUCUCGCUCGCCGGAUAGCCGCUCUGCGAUCUGUGCCUGAGAGUGGGCCGCGAAGUGGAGUGUACAGUACUCAGACUCUGGGAGCAGAUUUAACCGAGCAGAUAUUUGUAAAGGAAAUGAUCGGGUUACCCGAAGCGUUUCUUUUCCCGGAUGUUUUUCGCGUGGGGUGACCUCCAGCUUUUGCUCUCGCUAGCCGGACAGCCGCUCUGCGGUCUGCGACUGAGAGGUGGGCCUUUGGUACUGCACAUGCUACUAAGCCGUCUGUGGGAAAAAACGUCUCAGGCCAAGCGCCAGCCCCCGGGCCAACUCUGGCUGGCACCGGGGCGAACAAUGGUGCAACUGCAAUAAAAAUGAGGAGAUAGCCCCCGAGCAUCGCUCGGGGUUAUCCGUGCUCUUGUGGUGAAAAAUAUGCAGGUGAGGAGCUCACAUUGGUUUUCGUGUAGCCGAGGCGGAGUUUGCCGAAGACAGCCGGCAUGGCUCAACGCUUGCUGAGCGCACCGGCGCACCCGCUGGUUGUAGUCUUCGAGCCUCCGGGUGCUCGAAGGGGAUCCUGGCCGGUCAGGCUCGACCGGCCAGGUGGCGAGGUGGCUUGCAGUACCCUUUUUUCUUCUUUUUCUCUUUUGCCGGCUGCUGGCAGCCGGACAAAAUUCUUCUCCUGUCUGCAAUCUUCCGUGGGGGCGCGCUAGCGCACCCACUGGGUGUAGGCCCCAAGAUUCGGGCCGACUACUGAGUAGCCGGGCUGGAUCUCCUGGGAACUACUUUGUCUUCUCUUUCUUCGUGGGGGUGCAUCAGCGCACCCGCUGGGUGUAGCCCCCGAGAUUCGGGCCGACUGCUGAGCAAUCGGGCCGGAUCUUCCGGCAACUACUUUGUCUUCUUCUUUGCGGGGUCCCGAUCUGUGUGUCUGAGGCUGAUGGUAACAGGAAGCAAGGGACACAAUGUUUACCCAGGUUCGGACCCUCUCGAUGGAGGUAAAACCCUACUUCCUGCUUGAUUAAUAUUGAAGAUAUAUGUAGUACAAGAGUAGAUCUACCACGAGAUCGUAGAGGCUAAACCCUAAGAGCUAGCCUAUGAUGGUAUGAUUGUAAUUGUGAUCGGCCUUCUAAGGACCAUCCUCUCCGGUUUAUAUAGACACCGGAGAGGGCUAGGGUUUACAUGGAGUCAGUUACAAGGAAGGAAACACAAUAUCCGGAUCGCCAAGCUUGUCUUCCACGCAAAGGAGAGUCCCAUCCAGAUACGGGCCGAAGUCUUGAGUCUUGUAUCUUCACGCUUCGAUAGUCCGGACGAUGUAUAUAGUCCGGCUGUCCGGAUACCCUCUAAUCCAGGACUCCCUCAGGCGCCCCUAUGUCUCGCUUCUAGGGAGACAUUCUUGAAUGAAUGAGUACCUACUAGCCGAAUUGGAUUCUUCCAAACUAAGUCUAGCUCAAGGGGUGGGGAGUGUCCAACUUUGAAAAAAGGAUCAAUCAAAUGAAAGCAUUGAAUUGCAUGACCAUUUCAUUUCCCUUUUUCCAAAAACUUGAAUUGACAAUUUCCCAUUUCCCAGUGCGCUGGUCCAUAUCGACAUGCCACAUUAUAAUGAGCAAAUAUACGACAUUUGAAGUCGCGUACCCACGAAACAUAAGAUGUAAAUUUAAGUCCCAUCACUCAUUCCAUUAAAUAUCAAAUUAUGACUACCGAAUAUUCGACCACACCAAAGUCGCAUAAAGUAUAUAAGAAUAGCCAAGUUCUUCAUCCGCAAAGACCAAAUGUUCUAUAGGCGAGGAUGUACUCGUCGAACUUCUUUGGACGAUGCAUGUAUCAUGUUGGAGACGAGCACGCGAUCGGAGAUGGGCAUGCCACAACCUUGGAGCAUGAUGGGAUCGACACAAAAGAGUCAGAGGAGAUGUCACCCGAGGUAGAAGGCACACAUGGCGUUCAGGCAUGACAAGCACGCGAUUAAGACUGCCGAUCCACAACCAGCCAACGGAAGAGGUGAGUAAAUCUUUGUUUCGAGUGGAGAAUGUUUGUUCUAGGGUUUCUCAACACCUAUUUGGUUUUGAUUAAUCACAUGUGGAAGGUUUUGGGUUUCUGGCAGCCUCAACUUUCGAUUAUCUUUGAACCGGUGAUGUCUAGGUAUGGGGAGGCAGCAGAUGGCCACCGCCGGCCAACACAAAAAUGUGAACUUUGGAUUUAUAUUAGACACUUUUACUAUUUAUAAGCUACUAGUUAUUAUUAGUUUAUAUUUAUAUAGUACAAAUGAGAACAUAUAGUGUUGCUGCUAUUAAGAUAUAUUGUAUUUGAUAUACAAUUCUUAUAUCUCAAUUACAAACACACAUGCAUUAAGUUAAACCAAUAUUUUACGGUGGUGUUUGUUUUAUACAUUGUUUCAUAUGAGAAAAAUAAAAUCCAAAAUCACAUUGCCUCUAGAUUAAUUUAUGUUGUUCAUGUGUUCACAUAUAUAUUUUAGUACCUUUAACCUUUAAAUAAGGUAUAGGGACUCCCUCCACAACCACGAGAGCUCUAGCUAAUGCUCACGAGUGUCAAACAGACGAGCUUUCGCACAUGCAAGUUUUGAAUGGGUCGGUCCAUUUGGUAGCGUCAUAGCAAGACACUACUAAAAUUCCAAAAAAAUGAUGUUCUAUCCCAUUCGGCGGUGUCAUAGUGAGAUGCUACUAAAAUCCCUCCAAAAUGAUGCUUUAUCGAGGAAUCAAACUCGCAACCCCACGGUAGAGAGCAAAGUGUUCUUUACCACUUGAUUAAUACAAUGCAUGAAAUGCAACGACAGAUCAAAAAAUAAACCAUUAAACAUUUUUAAAUAUACAUUGAACAUUUUUGUAAUAUACGGUUAACACUUCGUAAACACACAUGUUACAUAUUUAUAAUACAGGCUGAAAUAUUUUUUAAAUACACAUUCAACAUUUUUUUGAUAUGCGCCAAACAUUUUUUUAAUACACAAUGAUUAUUUUUUCUAAAACAUUGAACAUUUUCUUAAUAUACGUCAAACAUUUCAUUAAAUGUACUGUGAACAUUUUUUUAAUAAAUGAUUAACUCUUGUAUAAGACAUAAAAAACACAAAUUGUUCAUCGUAAUAAUGUAUUAAUGAAAAAAUGCUUGAUGAAAAUUUUCUUAUAACAUAUUAAUGGAAGAAAAAGGAAAAGAAAAAAGCAGAAAGAAAAACACAUAAAAAGAAUACCUAAAAAACAAACAACCAUAAAAACAGGAAAGAACAAGGAAGAAAACAAAACAAAUAAGCAACAAGCGAAAAGAACGAAACAGCGAACUGGGCUGGGCCACAUUGAGUGAAGUUCAUAUCUAUCCUGGACUAGCCGCUUCACAUUGGGCCCAGCUAUCUAAGCACUACACAGAAUAGAGACCCAUUGACAAAAAAAUCGAUGUGCAUAUAAAAUUACAUUUAUUAUAUUUAAAGUAUGAAAUUUUCAUAAUAGUGUAUUUUAUAUGUGGCAUACAAAAAAAAUGACAGAUACGUAUAUCAAUUGGUCUUUUCCUGGGAGGGAAGAAAUUUGGGUUUUACCGAUCACCAUAUUAUUUAAUGAAAGUUUACAUAUAUGUACUGAACGUGUAUAUACAUUUUGAAAGAAAAUGUUUAAAUUUGUUUCAAUGUUUAAAUAUCAUUUUUUGUUUGUUAAAAUACCGGGUUCCAUGGAGAUUUGGAGCCAAAAAUCCGCAUAUAUAUACCCUACUAGUGAGUUGCCCGUGAGCUGUGAGAGAUAUCAUUAUUGGCAUAUCUUUGAACCGGUGAUGUUUAGGUAUCGGGAGGCAGCAGAUGGCCACCGCCGGCCAACACAAAAAUGUGAACUUUGGAUUUAUAUUAAACACUUUUACUUUUUAUAAGCUACUAGUUAUUAUUAGUUUAUAUUUAUAUAGUACAAAUGAGAACAUAUAGUGUUGUUGUUAUUAAGAUAUAUUGUAUUGAUAUACAAUUCUUAUAUCUCAAUUACAAACACACAUGCCUCUAGAUUAAUUUACGUUGUUUAUGUGUUCACACACACACACACACACACACACACACACACACACACACCUUUAACCUUUAAAUAUCUUUACAAGAUAUUUAAAGGUAUAGGGACUCCCUCCACAACCACGAGAGCUCUAGCUAACGCUCACGAGUGUCAAACAGACGAGCUUUCGCACAUGCAAGUUCUGAAUGGGCUGGUCCAUUUGGUAGCGUCAUAGCAAGACACUACUAAAAUUCCAAAAAAUGGUGCUCUAUCCCAUUCGGCGGUGUCAUAGUGAGAUGUUACUAAAAUCCCUCUCAAAACGAUGCUUUAUCAAGGAAUCAAACUCGCAACCCCACGGUAGAGAGCAAAGUGUUCUUUACCACUUGAACUUAGUGAUUAAUACGAUGCAUGAAAUGCAGCGAUAGAUCCAAAAAAAAUCAACCAUUAAACAUUUUAAAUAUAAAUUGAACAUUUUUGUAAUAUACGGUUAACACUUCUUAAACACACACAUGACAUAUUUAUAAUAUACGCUGAAAUAUUUUUUAAAUACACAUUCAACAUUUUUUUAAUAUUCACCAAACAUUUUUUAAAUACAGAAUGAUUAUUUUUUCUUAAACAUUGAACAUUUUCUUAAUAUACAUUAAACAUUUCAUUAAAUAUACUAUGAACAUUUUUUUAAUAAAUGAUUAACUCUUGUAUAAGACACAAAAAACACAAAUUGUUCCUCGUAAUAAUGCUUUAGUGAAAAAAUGCUUGAUGAAAAUUUUAUUAUAACAUAUUAAUGAAAGAAAAAGGAAAAGAAAAAAGCGGAAAGAAAAACACAUAAAAAGAAUACCUAAAAAAACAAACAACCAUAAAAACAGGAAAGAACAAGGAAGAAAACAAAACAAAAAAGAAACAAACGAAAAGAACGAAACAGCGAACGCGCAGCAGGCGCUGCCGCAAACUGGGCUGGGCCAGAUUGAGUGAAGUUCAUAUCUAUCAUGGACUAGCCGCUUCACAUUUGGCCCACCUAUCUAAGCACUACACAGAACAGAGACCCAUUGACAAAAAAAUCGGUGUGCAUAUAAAAUUACAUUUAUUAUAUGUAAAGUAUGAAAUUUCAUAACAGUGUAUUUUAUAUGUGGCAUACAAAAAAAAUGACAGAUACAUAUAUCAAUUGGUCUUUUUCUGGGAGGGAAAUUUGGGUUUUACCGAUCACCAUAUUAUUUAAUGAAAGUUUACAUAUAUGUACGGAAUGUGUAUACAUUUCAAAGAAAAAUGGUUGAAUUUGUUUGAAAGUUUAAAUAUCAUUUUUUAUUGUUAAAAUACCGGGUUUCAUGGAGCCUUGGAGCCAAAAAUCCGCACUCCUAUAUAUACCCUACUAGUAAGUUGCCCGUGAGCUAUGAGAGAUAUCAUUACAACACAUUAUAGAAACACCAUGACAUUUACAUAUACAUAGGGAGUGUAAGUUACAAUUAUGUUAUGACUGGUAGCUGAAUUAAUUGAAAAACAAAUGUAAAUCGUACCUGCAUAGCGCUCCAAAUAUGUGGAUAUAACACAUUAUAUGCGUGUGUGGACCAGGCAACAACACUUGCAAAUAUCGCUAAGAAAAACAUGCAAAUAAUUGAAAUAUAAUAGUAAUAAUGGUUGCACCCGUUUGUUAAUCAUUCAAAUAAUAAAUCUAGGGUAUCUCCAGAAAUGCCUUUUGGUGCUCGGGCUACACACAGCUCUUUUUUCAACUCAAAGAAAAACUUCAACAAUUUUGAAAUCAAAUCAACACAGUAUCAUACGGAUGUAUACUCCAGGUGUGCAAAAUUUUAUUAUGAAAUAAAUUGAUACGCAAGCUACACAAAAAGGACAAGUUGGUGAAUUUGGACAUAGUGAACAGUACAACAGUGAUCACUACAUAAAACCAACAUUUUCCAUUUUCUUAUGUAGCUCGCAAAUCAAUGUAUUUUCUCAUGAAAUUUUACACACAUGUAGCAUAUAUGCAUCCAUAUGUCAUUUGUGGAAUUGUUUUCAGAAUUUUCUAAAACUUUGAAUUGUGAUUUUUUGAAUGCUCCAUAAAAAAGGCUCCAUUAGCCCAAGCACCAAAACGAUGCACUCGGGUAUCUCUCUCUCUCUCUCUCUCUCUCUGCAUGUAUAUAUAUAUGCACUAGCUUACGUGCAAAUUGUAUACUAGAAUAAUGGAAGCACGCACACAUGUAUCUGAGCUCAAAGUACAGGCAUGCACCUCUGUGCAAUACGAUCAAUUUGCUUUUGGGUUUAAAUUUAAAAUUUAAAAUCUAAGGGGACAGCUGCUAUAGGUAGCUACUCAGCCCUUUUCAUAUCGAUCUGUCCGUUGCAAGCACGCGAGGGGAGACGAACGAAUAUUGGACCACGCCAUUGUAUAAUCUACAGAGCACAAGUCUCAUACCAGUAUGUUGACUGCACAGCAAAUUUUAGACUGAUGGGAUCAAAACGGAGUACUAUACACCGUACUGUACUAUACCUUCUAUUGGACUUCUUUUGACCAUCCAAAUUAAUGCUUUGAAAAAUAAUUAGUCUAUCAGUAUAUAUAAUUUAUGUCACAUGAAAUAGCCAUCAAAUAAGUAUUUCAAAAUACUUCCGUAUGACUACAGUUUUGCGACCACUGACUGAACAUUGUAUGGUAGAUUCAUGGUUAAAACAUGAAUUUAGAUAGCAUCUCCAAUACAAGAUGUAUAUGCAAAAAUAACUACUUUUUGCAUUUUCGAAGCCCCAAAACACCUCUACAAUAGAUGAUGUAGAUGAAUUUUUUUUUUAAAAUUUACACCUCCGCCUCCCGGAGAUGUAAAAUACAACACCUCGUGGUGCAGAUUUGCAUCUCCGCCAACUGGAGAUGUAAAAAGGGCAGCCGCACGCCGACUGCCCAACCGCCUUCCGCUCCCUUCCACGCGACCGCUCGACCUCCGGCCAAAUUCGCACAAAAUCGACGCCACCGUUGCCCGCCUAACGGCCGCCGGGCCCGCCGCGACUUCACCCCCGUCCCCCGCACCUGCCUUGCCAGGGCCGUCGCCCGUAGCCGCCGAUUCCCUUUCGGUCGCCUCUUUGAAUCGAAGCAUCUCCGGCGGUCCGCCUGGCCUAAUGCCUUCCAUGGCAUGGUCGUGAAUGGGCUAGGCUUCUUCCUAGCCAAGAAACCUCGCGGAAGGUAGGGAAGGCGCGCCACGCCGCCCGCAUCGGCCAUUCUUCCGGCCGCGUAAUGUCGGCCGCCGGCAACGCCGAGCUCCCGCCUUCUUCUCUGCUGAGUUGCGACCAUCUCCUCUGCCGAGGCGUGUCACCGCUGCUCGCACCCGCCGCCGCCGAAUGGCAGCCCACCCCGCAGCCGACCGAUUUCGUCCACCCCGCAAGCAAGGUGUUCGAUGAAAUUCCCCAAGGUAAAAAAGAUGAAACUUGACGGUUUUGACAUUCAUAUUUUGGAAUGCCUGGAUCUUGCAAUGACAUCAACGUGCUCGACCAGUCACCUCUUUUUGCCAAGUUAGCAAAUGGAGAAGCACCACUGGUACUACACUGCUCUCUUCUGGUUAUUACUUGAGUAAUUCCGAAUGCAAAUGGUCAAUCAAACUUUUGAAGUUUUGCUACAAAUAUCUUAUGUCUCAUAUGUUUAGCAUAUACAAUUAAACCACACAAUAUGGUUAGUUAAUUAUUAAGCUAUAUAUAUUUUAUUGCAAACCAUGAAAGUAGAUGUGUCCCUAAACUUUGAACUCAGCUUGUUUUCACUCUUGUUGUAUUUUCCUUGUAAAUGCCAGUUUGACAAAUCACAAAGCAAAACUUUUAUCAAGUUAAACAUGUUCUGAAUUUUCUUCCUAAACAAGAAAGCCAUACAGUGAAUGCAUUUUAAUCCCUAAAACAAAAACAAAAACAAAAAAUCAUUUUUUGGUCCUACAACCAUAGACAAACUACUAAUGUUUUCAAAAAAAAGGAGGAUAGCAUGCUUGGCCUCUGCAUUAAUUGAUGCACACAACCAUAUGGUAUUAGGGUUUUGCUUUGAAAACUGUGUUUAGACAAAGACUUGUAUAAAUCUCUAAAAAGACUUAUAUAAAAAAGGCCCGUAAACUUGAUGAAAUGACCACACAUGGCCACCUCUGCACUCUUCGCAACUUCAACUUGUCAAAACUGUGCUAGAAAUGUGGAAUAAAAUUCAUGUAACCCAAGGAUUGAGCAAUGUCGAUCGAGUAAAAUUUGCUAAAAAGAUGACUCGAGCAAAGUUUAUUUUAGUUAGUCAGAAGAUUAAAUUCCAUAAGUAUCUUGUAUACAUUGAUCUAUCGGCCCAAGCAAAACUGAUUAAUCUUGCAACAUCAUUGCGAGAAUUGUGGAAUUCAUUAUCAAUAUUUCUCAGCAAUGUCAGGCUCUUGUGCUCACUUAAAUGUAAUAAUUGCAUGAAACAAGCUAUGUAUUUAUAUUCACCAUUCCUUCGUCCCCUAUGAGCGUUGCUACAUAGACGACAACCCUGGACGAUUUUCAGACGAUUCAGCAGAUCAAGCCAUUGAUGCGUGGAGCAAAACUGACCAACACCGUUCAAUCAAAUAUCGUCCAGCGUUCGUCUAGGCUACUAUCGUCCGCGUAGUAGUUUCGGUCCCCUAUAUAUGCAUGCAAUAAUCCAAGAGAUGGAGUGUAUAUAAGAGUCAUACAUUUGGAGAUUUUGUAUUUUACCAUACAAUCACUAAUUAAUCAAUCUGCUGGCAGUAAAAGGAGCUCAUAUAUAUAUAAUUCCUCAUACAUGAAUUAGAGCAAGCAACUCCAGAUGAUUUUUCACAGAUAAUAAGCAAAAGCAAAUUAAGCAGAGAUUCUAGUUAAUUACCAGCUGCUAGAUGUAUAUGCAAUGCAAGUUCUUCUCUAGUUAUUGGUAUGACGAUGGACUUUGUUGAAGAUCUGAUCUUGAUGAUGCUCGGAGAGGUCGACACAUGGACCACUCCUGAAGUCCUGACUGAUUGAUGCUAGGUAGGUAGCUAGUAGGGCGGCCGUGCAUGCGCCGCCCAUUCCGGUGCCGCGUGCCCGCCACCUCCCGGCAUCAGGUUCGGCGGCACGCCGUACAUCGGCAUCCCCGUGGCGGAGGGGUCGCCGGCCAUCAUCGGAGGAAGAGGAACACCAGCACCGGGGGCACCGUGCCUGCGGGCGGCGUCGAGCUGGUGGUGAUCCUCCUCGGCGUCGUCCAGCGGCAGCCGCUCGUAGGUGGCGUUGGCAAAGGUGGACGCGAUCACCAUGACGGGCCCGGCUGCGGUGAGCGCGCCCACGACGCUGCCCCCGACCACCUGCCCCUGCCCUCCGGCCAGGUACACGGUGAGCCCCGUGGAGCCCGGCGGCGAGGGCCCGGGGAGGAAGGUGCCGGUGAGGGAGAGUAUCUCGAAGCGGCCGCGCAGCGCGACGACGGCCCCCGGCGCGGAGGGCUGGCGCAGGGCGACGUCGGCGACGGUGCCGGCGCCGCUGAGCACGCAGACGCCGCGCUGCCUGCGGCGGGAGAAGUGGGCGAUGGACUCGGCGACGUCGGCGCCGCCGGCCACCUCCAUGACGUGGCUGCGCAGCGCGUUGGGGCUGUCGCGCGUGACGAAGAUGGGCGGCUUGGGCUUGUUCUUGGAGCCCGGGGGCCGGCCGCGCGGGCGGCGGUUCGCCGGCACCACCACCGCGCCCUCCUUGGGCUCGUCGUCCUGCCCGCUGCCCCCUCCGCUGUUGCUGCUCUCCCCGUCGACCUUGGGCGCCGCCAUGGCGUCCUCCAGCUGCUGCUGCUGCUGGUUCUGGUUCUGGUUCUGGUUGCUGGCGAGGCCUGAUGCAGGCGGCGCCUCCGUCAACCGGCCUUCGUCCCACCACCUGUUGGCCAUCUGCACCUAACCUAACUGAUCUCUGCUCCUUUCUUGAUCUGCUCUUCUUCUUCUUGGUGGCUAGCUAGCAAAGCUUUCUUGAUUAAUUAGUUGUUUUCUUCACACCAUGAUGCCCUGGAUCUGCACACAAAUGAAAUGAAGAUCAGAGAAGCUUCAUGUCAACACAAAAGAGAUCGAAUCGACGAAAACUAGCAACAACCAUAUAUACAUGUGAUAGAUACUUGUUUACAGAAUUAAGAAUAUGAUGUGUGUGGGGAUUGGGAAACAGCUCCUUGUUAUCCUUUGAUUUCAUGAGCAAGCUAAAGAAAAGGAUGCAUGGACCUAAAGGGGCCGGGAUCGAUGAACCUGAUCUAGUAUCUAGCUAGGAGAUGGAGAGGAAAUAGAGAUGAGUACCUUGUGCGCCAUGAAAUUGCAGAUAAGCAAACCAGGAAGAUCAAGAAUUAGCUACCUAGAUCCCCAUCGAUUCGAUUGAUCUAGUAUGAGGUUUUUGUUGGUGUGCAGUGGACUAGCUCAGGCCUCAUCUAGUGUGUGUGUUGUAUAUAUGGAGGAUCGAGAAAGCUAGCUAGCUAGAGGGUAGAAGAGGAGGAGGAAGACUUGCUUGCUGCGAGCUGAGUAAGCAGGCUUUGUCAUGGAGAGGGAUGCAUGAGGUGUGUUGAUGGUACCUUGUAGUUGUACUUGUUCCACACCUGCCCCCAAGCUAAUUCACCUCUCUAUAGUUAUCAAAAAAUAUUCACUUCACUAUAGAUCGAUCCAUAUGUAUGUAUACUAGUACUAAAGCAGUAUGUGUACAUGGCAUUCUUCUUCUUACAUACAGAAAAUUAAGGCUAAGUGUGCACCCCUUUAACUUGGUUUACCUAUAUUUUACGGUGGGUAACGUGGUGGGGAGUACAACUCCCACAUACAAAAAAAAAUACUUCGUAUGAUUGCAUGGACCACUAUUGGUACCAUUUUUUUAGCUGCCUACAAGUAUGUAGUACUUAAAAAUGAGUCACCCUGCUACCAUCAAAUGUGGAUUGGCAUAUAUUACCAGCCCCACCAACCGGUUUAUUCAUGUUAAAUUAAUGUAAGGUAUACUUUUCAACGCCGUGAUUUUGAAUACGUAGCCUUACACCGAAUUUUAUAUAAAAAUGAAAAUGACCAUCGAUCCAAGUAGAAAAAAAAAAUCUAUGGUGUAUACACAAAGAUCUACUAUGGGUUUACUCAAGAUCUUCUAUGGGGUGAUUUUGUAUACGUUGCCUUCACUGAUUUGUAUAAAAAAAUGACAAUGACUGUCGAUCGAACUAGAAAGAUCUACGGUACAUACACAAAGAUCUACGGUGGGUCUUGUCAAGAUCUUCUACGUAACAAGUACGUGGGCUCUAAGGCACUCUCGCCAGGCCAGUGAAAACUUGAUGACUCGCACUUCUCGUCUGGUUGGAUGAAGAGAGGUAAUUUUUCUUUCGUUUUGCAACCUUAAGUCUCACACAUAAGAUUUUAAGAAGACCAGUGUCGGGAAAAUAUCCCACUUUGUGAGCGGUUCCCAUUGGGGUUUUCAUUUUGUAUGUAUAAGCAUGUUACAAUUGCCAAAGUCUUAUGUAUUCCACCGGCAGAUGUGGUAUUUAGGCUCUAUCAAACUGGCCCAUGGCUAGUAGAACAGUUCCAUUCUUAGACCAACGUAUUUUUAUAGCUACCGCUAAGUAUAUACUUCAAAAUAAACCAUCCUACCAUCAAAUGUGGAUUGACAUAUAUUACCAACCCAACCAACCGCUUUAUUUAUGUUACAUAUAACAUAUACUUCUCAACAUCGUGAUAUAUAUGCUGAUUUGUAUAGAAAAAAGGAAAUAGUCAUCGAUCCAAGUAAAUGAUAGAAUGGAAGCGGAUUAGGAGCACUCNNNNNNNNNNNNNNNNNNNNNNNNNNNNNNNNNNNNNNNNNNNNNNNNNNNNNNNNNNNNNNNNNNNNNNNNNNNNNNNNNNNNNNNNNNNNNNNNNNNNNNNNNNNNNNNNNNNNNNNNNNNNNNNNNNNNNNNNNNNNNNNNNNNNNNNNNNNNNNNNNNNNNNNNNNNNNNNNNNNNNNNNNNNNNNNNNNNNNNNNNNNNNNNNNNNNNNNNNNNNNNNNNNNNNNNNNNNNNNNNNNNNNNNNNNNNNNNNNNNNNNNNNNNNNNNNNNNNNNNNNNNNNNNNNNNNNNNNNNNNNNNNNNNNNNNNNNNNNNNNNNNNNNNNNNNNNNNNNNNNNNNNNNNNNNNNNNNNNNNNNNNNNNNNNNNNNNNNNNNNNNNNNNGGGCACCCGAGUGCUCCUAUGUAUUUUCGAUGAUACAAUGGCCAACUUCUUUUCCGACAAACAUGAGAUUACACCACCAACCUUUCUAUUAAUAGGUGCACGGAGCAAUGUAUUCAUUAAUUGGAAGUGCGUUAGAGCGAGCGCAUCACACUAGGUACGUAGUAGCGAUAGAGUAUCCAUAUAUAUACAACUCACGCAUCAGAAUUUUGAUUAUAAAUGACACAAGACAGGCAAUGCCAGGUUAUUUCAUACUCACUCCGUUUCAAAAAUAGAUGACUCGACUUUGUACUAACUUUAGUACAAAGUUGGGUCAUCUAUUUCGAAACGGAGGGAGUACGUCUUAAUUAAUUAAUUAUACAUGAAAGACCAUUAUUUGUUGUGGUGUUGGUGGGGCCGAUUAUACUAUGUAUAUUUAUAGUUUACAAUGGGACGAGUGCAGUUAGGCUGGGUAGGAGGGAGUAUGUUGGAGAUUAGGCCUCCUUGCAAGAACGCAUGCACGCUCUACAUUUAUUUUUCGUUGCAUGCAUGCUGAUGUAGGUAGGUAUCACGUAGUAUUGUAUACGUAGCUUGAUUUAUCUUCUUCCACCUAUCUGGGCUUUGUGCGAAUGGACAGCUGUCACUUAUUUGGUAGGUUCAAAAUACCAGCGUUUUCCAAUUACAAAUACUAUUGCAGAUGUGUGUUAAAGAUAUUUGAACUGGUUAAUGUACUUUACAUAAAACCAUGCAUUUCUUUCUUUUGACUUCCCAUGUUCAUGUGUAACAUGUUUUUUUAGAAACACUGAACAAACACAGAACACUCACAUAUACGCAUCUACAAACAUUCCUAUAAGCACUUUCAAGAGACUGAACCAACAAAUUUUGAGAUUGACAAAGUGGCCAGAGGCACCUCGUAGUUGGCAAGAACAUCAUCUUGUACAUCGCCAGAAUGCCUGAAAUAAACUCAGAAAAAUGUGGUCACCCAUGCCAAGUCCAGGACUUCAACUCGGUGGUUCCUCCACAACAAACAUAACCAUCUCAGCUACACUCAAUUUGAUACAUACAUCAUGUUGAUGUACGCUCCUGUUGAUGACUAUCUGUAUACAGAUGCGUAAAUCCUCACAAGGGUUUUUCAAUCAGUUAUAUUUAUUUAUUAACUUAAUAUAUCGCGUCAAGGAGAUAUGAUCGAAAAGAGUUACACGUGCAUGACUAGAAAUACUACUACUAAUAUAUACGUAUAGUAGAAGUAGCUUGCAUUAUGCAUUAUGCCUUUGUUGUGUCGAAAUAAUCAUGUGGUCGUAUGAUUUACUGUUGUUGAUUAAAUCGUCCGGACACUUCCAAAGUCCGUCCUAUUUGUUAAUUAAAUAAACUAAUCCCCUGAUUAGACUAAGUACGGUUCCCAACAGCUAGGGCUGAUCCUCUGUACAUUAUGGCUACCAUACUGUCGUGUACCAGUACCACCCACAUGGAUGUUUCUUGUCAACCAUUCAAGAUCACUUUUAGUUGGGAAGAAAAAUAAUCAAAAUCACCUAUCGACGUCACUCACCAGUUCGACUGACGACUCUGUGACGACAGGUGUCAAGAGAUGUCUAAAUUUGUGUCUCUUGGACCAGGUUAAGUUCAUUGAAAAUUGACCCAUUGUUAAAGAUACACUUAUUAUUGGUUGUAAUUGUUUUGACUUAUCUUCCAUGAGUUUUACGUUACCAUUCAUUCAAACUCCUCUGCUUCUCCUCUAGUACUGCCGUUGCAUCUUGAUCAUGCCAUCGUUGCACCAUUCACUGUUAUCCUUGGCAAAUACUCCCUCUGUCCGAAAAUACUUGUCAUCAAAAUGAAUUAAAGAGGAUGUAUCUAGAUGUAUAUUAGUUCUAGAUACAUCCAUUUUUAUCCACUUUGGUGACACAUAUAUUCGGACGGAGGGAGUACAGAGUAAACCUACGAUCAACCUAUAUAUUACACAUUAUCAUUGCCAUCAACUUGAACUGUAGCUAGAGUUACAUCGACACAAUCAUUCACCCUCUGUCCCAUUGUAAUAACCCCCGAUCUUGCAAGUAGUGGCCAUCCUUAGGAUCUAGAGGGGGGAGUAGAA
This 17628-nucleotide long non-coding RNA is filed under the name Triticum aestivum (bread wheat). RNAcentral's name for it is "long non-coding RNA (TAES_LNC002633)". The stretch from base 17334 to 17468 matches the Rfam family "MIR1120/MIR1122 microRNA precursor family". Lineage: Eukaryota; Viridiplantae; Streptophyta; Magnoliopsida; Poales; Poaceae. The record is from RNAcentral.